Molecule: long non-coding RNA, 2292 nt
Organism: Pteropus alecto (black flying fox)
Lineage: Eukaryota; Metazoa; Chordata; Mammalia; Chiroptera; Pteropodidae
Exons: 11
Source: RefSeq, a predicted model, not a curated record
UCAGGCUGAUGGAGUGAGUGACGGCAUGAGUUGCCAACUAUAGUUAUUCCGCUCAGUACAGAAUGCCUGUGGGGAAUAGAAUCAGGCAUGCCCAAAACAAUCUUCCCAGGGCGAAACAAAUACCUUUGAGGUUUAAAUCAGAAACUACACGAUUUUUGUUGCCAUAUUUUGUUAGAAAGGAAGGAGAGGCUGUUUCUACAGGUGUCAUAGAAAAAUCAAUACUGAGCCACGGCUUAUUGCCUCCCAUAGAACCAUGGACUUGGCAGUGAAAUUCUUCCAAAGUUUCUUCUAGAUUUUUCAAAGUUGAAAAGCUAUGCAUAACGCAUUGGUUGUUUUACCGCACUGCUUAGCAUUCCAUUCAUGCAGGCAGACGGUGUUCUUAGGUUUGGAAAUAUAAAUCCCAGGAGGAGUAAGCUGAAGAACAUUUUAUGCAUCACUCAUUCUAUUAUGAGCCCUCUGCUGUUCCAUCUCUCUACAAGACUGGCUGAAGCAACGGCAACAAUUGUUUCCAAUUUGUACUCUAAUUUUGGAUUAUCUAGUUAAUAUCCUGACUCUGAUUAUCUUGCAAGACUGUUAGAAGGCUGCUACUACAUUAUUAAUAAAAUAACAGGGAAAAUGCAACAUUCUGGAGGUCCCACCUGAUGGGUUGGCGGCUGAACAAAAACAGAGCAGUAAGAUUUCCUGACUACAUUUUCUCAGGGCCAUCCACUGGGAGUUAAGCUGACUAACGCUGUGAAAGCCCAGCCCAUUUCGAUAACAGCAGGCAUGGCAGAAACUUCCAGAGGACCAGCCUCAGCUCCCCAAAGUGGCCCAAGGCGAUGUUACUUUCAAACACAGAAGUCUGAAUAACCCAUCAAUGGAUGAUGAAAUCAACAUACUAGAUCAUAAGUUGAUUAAAAGAAAAAAAUUAAGAGAAAGAAUAUCAAAGUGUAUUGCCCAUAGUAAGACAGGCCGGAAGGCGGAAAUGAAAUGAAUAUACGUAUGAGACUUAAUUAAACAUAUUCAAGUGAUGAAAGGAUUAAGAAGGCCUGUCGCAAGGGCCAGAGGAAGACCAUUGGUCGCACAUCGAUAAAGGCAUCUGUAGCGGAGUAUGGCUUAGUGGUCUGCUGGAUCCACAGUGGAUACUUCAGCGUGGUUCUCCAUGGACAGUGUUUCCAAGUCUAGAUGGCUUUGUUCUUACUGACUGCUUCCAUCCUUAAAAAAUUCCACACCUAUGCAUUGUAUUUAUAUAGUAAACAACUCAUUGUGAUGUGUGGCACUGGCAUGCUGUGCCCUAGAAAAAGAGCAGCCUUAGGUGAUUCUGCUCUGAGAUGGAAUUUGUGCCUGCAAGGAGCAGAACCCAGCUGGUGCCCACUUUGGAAAAUAAAAGGAAGAGCACUGAGAUUCCUCAAGGUGUCGGUUCCUCCAGUGGUUGACUGAUUGUACCCGCCAGCUGGCUAAUAUCAUAAUUAACAAAGUUGCUACUACGUUUGUAAAGUUUAAUCGAAAAAUUUGCCAAUGAUAUGAUGGCAUUGUCACAGAGAUCACAAGGGACACGUUGUCGACUUUUGCUCAAGGUGGACCGGCAAAGCAGUAUAGGCAAGAUGAGAAAUUCUAAACUUGUUCAGCCAAAGGUUAUGUAUGCUUCAUAUCACCCACCAGGGAGGAUCAUCUCUCAUGAAAACUUUCAAAUUUGAUUUUGAAAAUUAUUCAGAAAAAUUUAAGCCAUGCUCUCUCCCAAUGUAGGAAAGAAUAUGCUCUAGAGAUUCCUAUAAUUCAAAGGAAAUGGACUGGGAUAACAUCUGAGUUCUCAUGCUACCAAAAUCUUCUUGAACAGGAGGCUAAUAAUGAAGGGGCCGGGGAAGGAGGCCAGUGCUACGAGGGUUAUCUCACAGCCUCAGAUGCUGGAUAAGUCGAAGGAGGCAGAAUCGCUUUUGGAUGACAUUCAGAAAGGCCGGAGUGAUUAUUUGGAAGAGAAAAGCUUGCCUAUUCUUUUCCAAGGUGCGCGAAUAUUCCCCUGGCCUGCCCGUCCACCGAUGAAUUACUCUCAACCUGCCUUAGACAAAGGAUGCACUCAGAACCUCACCACACCUAAAGCCAUGCUUUGAAGGAUCUGCCAAGCUCACUUUUAAUCAUGAGAAAGAAAUUACCCACAUGGAGUCAGCAGAAAAUGAGAAAGUAGAGCUCGUGCUGCGAAUAAUUCCAGCAAGUGCCAAGGGGCUAGUUGAAGAAUGGCUCCAUGAGGUGAAUAUCUUUAGCUUGUACUUAGGGUUUGGCUAGCGUAUAAUCAUUUUCUCUUUUAGGAGCGAUGAC